RNAcentral lists this ribosomal RNA (488 nucleotides) under uncultured Glomus. RNAcentral's name for it is "SSU rRNA". It matches the Rfam family "Eukaryotic small subunit ribosomal RNA", at positions 569 to 1062 of the family's 1831-position model. The record is from RNAcentral. Lineage: Eukaryota; Fungi; Glomeromycota; Glomeromycetes; Glomerales; Glomeraceae.
AGCAGCCGCGGUAAUUCCAGCUCCAAUAGCGUAUAUUAAAGUUGUUGCAGUUAAAAAGCUCGUAGUUGAAUUUCGGGAUCAAUAUAUCGGUCGUGCCUUGGUACGUACUGGUAUCAUUGGUUUCUCCUUUCUGACGAACCAUGAUGUCAUUAAUUUGGUGUUAUGGGAAGUUAGGACUGUUACUUUGAAAAAAUUAGAGUGUUUAAAGCAGGCUUUAGCUUGAAUACAUUAGCAUGGAAUAAUGAAAUAGGACGUUCGAACCUAUUUUGUUGGUUUCUAGGAUCAACGUAAUGAUUAAUAGGGAUAGUUGGGGGCAUUAGUAUUCAAUUGUCAGAGGUGAAAUUCUUGGAUUUAUUGAAGACUAACUACUGCGAAAGCAUUUGCCAAGGAUGUUUUCAUUAAUCAAGAACGAAAGUUAGGGGAUCGAAGACGAUCAGAUACCGUCGUAGUCUUAACCAUAAACUAUGCCGACUAGGGAUCGGAUGAUG